UACGGAGGGUGCAAGCGUUAAUCGGAAUUACUGGGCGUAAAGCGCACGCAGGCGGUUUGUUAAGUCAGAUGUGAAAUCCCCGAGCUCAACUUGGGAACUGCAUUUGAAACUGGCAAGCUAGAGUCUUGUAGAGGGGGGUAGAAUUCCAGGUGUAGCGGUGAAAUGCGUAGAGAUCUGGAGGAAUACCGGUGGCGAAGGCGGCCCCCUGGACAAAGACUGACGCUCAGGUGCGAAAGCGUGGGGAGCAAACAGGAUUAGAAACCCUAGUAGUCCACAUCGCGUGCCAGCAGCCGCGGUA
This 298-nucleotide ribosomal RNA is filed under the name uncultured bacterium. Its description in RNAcentral is "partial 16S ribosomal RNA". It matches the Rfam family "Bacterial small subunit ribosomal RNA", at positions 524 to 830 of the family's 1533-position model. The record is from RNAcentral.